GAGACAGCAGUAGCCACGGUAAUACGUAGGGCGCAAGCGUUGUCCGGAAUUAUUGGGCGUAAAGAGCUCGUAGGCGGUCUGUCGCGUCUGGUGUGAAAUCCCGAGGCUCAACCUCGGGCUUGCAUCGGGUACGGGCAGACUAGAGUGCGGUAGGGGAGACUGGAAUUCCUGGUGUAGCGGUGGAAUGCGCAGAUAUCAGGAGGAACACCGAUGGCGAAGGCAGGUCUCUGGGCCGCAACUGACGCUGAGGAGCGAAAGCAUGGGGAGCGAACAGGAUUAGAUACCCCCGUAGUCCCUGUCUCUUAUAC
Molecule: ribosomal RNA, 308 nt
Filed under: uncultured bacterium
Lineage: Bacteria
Description: partial 16S ribosomal RNA
Rfam family: Bacterial small subunit ribosomal RNA
Source: RNAcentral